AUGUCUCUUGAUGGGCACAUUCCAGUGCGCAGCCUUCUUGAAGCGUCGAUUACCAGAAGCGGCUCGGCAACAAAAAAGAGUUGUUAUUACUAACUUUUUGUUCUUAUUGCUCGUUUGAAAGAUCGGGCGCACGCAUUGAGGUCCCCCACACCUUCACAAGUGCGCUACUUGUGAGCUGCCGCACUCCCUCCGUUCUCUGCUUGGCUGCAGUGACCGGCCAGAUCCUAGGGACUCCCUCGCGCGAAGUACCCGUGCGCGCUGGUGUGCCGCCGCUUGCCUCGCCAGCGCUUUUCGGCUGCCAUCAGCGCGGCCACUUAGACUCUGUUUUCUUUCCACUUCUUUAGUGCGUCACCAACAAAAGUGGUCGACGGCAUACACAUCCAAGCGCAGAUUGAGCUGCCGCCAUGUCGCAUCCUGCAGAUUUAGUGACGCCGCCUAGCGCUGCCGACAACACACCUGGCGGCAACGGAGCUCCGAAAAAUUGGCGCUCCACAUCGGCAGCUAACUCUUCUUCCUCCUAUACUCGGUGGCGGAACUCACGGAGGGCAGACGCCUCCGACCGCAGCCUCCAGAGUCAUUCGCCGGCUGCCGACGGGGCUUCCACAACUGAUGCGGAGGCGUCAACGAGUAGUCUCCCGGUCGUCAUUCAGCUCUCGCGCGACCGCAAACGAGACGGCAGGCGGAGCUCGUCCGAGCAAAACACCUCAACGACGUCCGAGGCGCGACCGCUGGCCUCGGUCGAAGAGCGGUCCUUCCGCUCUGGUCUGCCUGGGAGUGCGGCUCCCUCGCAUGGCGAGCUGUCCGUGCGAGGUCGCAGCGACGCCGAGGAGCGGGUUUGGCAUCCCAUUAAGCUGAAGGACGGAGAGGACUCUGCGCGGUGGUCGCAGACUUCGUUAGGGGCCGUGAGCCGUAGACGAGGCGAGGUACACUGUUGCAGUAAACCGCGUGACGCGAGUGAUGCUGCUGCGAUCCCUGCUUCCUCAGAGGCCAGCGAGCUGACGCUGGCUAUCGCUGAAGCAGUGCCGCGAAUAGCCCAGGAGCAGGCGUCCGCCACCGAGGCAUACGCGGACCGCUGGUCGCACGAGCUGCAGCAGAGCACCGCAACGGAGGAAGAGCUGCGUCAUCUCUACCAACAGCUUGAAAAGGAGCUGAUAGGGACGCGGCGUGCCGCAAACACCGCGGAGGAGAGGCACAAGCGCGAGCUGGAGUUGCUGAAACGGCAGCUCGAGCAGGAGAGAGCCGAGCGAUUGAAGGCGGAGCAGGACCGCGAGGACCUCCUGGCGCAGGCCACUAUGAGCCCCUCCCACACUCCACGCACGGGUGGUGGGCUACCGAGCGCAGAGCAGAGUGGCGACUUUAAGGGGCGCCAAAGUCUUGGCAUCUCGCCGAGCAACGCGUACAUCAGCGACGUCUUCUAUGACAAGCUGAAGGAGAGGGAAGAGCGGGCACGCGCGCGGGUGCGCAAGGAGUUUGUGCGCCAGGCACAGGAGAGCCUCUACGCUGAGCAGCGCAAGCGUGCCGAGGCCGAGAAAGCGACGGAGGUGACGCUGAAACGGCUCGAUAAGGCGGAGGAGGAUAUCAGCAAAGCCCAAGAAGCGCUGCAGGAGGCGACGAGUGUCCUGGAGGCGAAGGAUGUGCAGCUGCACGAGCGCGCCAUCCAUGUUCAGGAGCUGGAAGCGCAAGUUCACCUUCUCGAGCGCCAGCUCGCGGCUGCCCAGGACGCGGAGCGGCUGUCCUCCGAACUCGCUUCGAAGAACCUCGAAGAGGUAAAGGCCUUGGCAGAUCAGCGACAGGCAGAGCUGGAGGCGCAGCGACAGUUUGUGCACCAGCUACAGGAGAAAAUCGGGCUAACUACCCUCGACCUGUUUGACCGCGAGAACGACCAGGAGGACGUGCUGCGCACCGUGCAUGAGCUGCGGGCGCGCUGCCGGCAGCUGGAAGAAGAGUUCGCGGCAGCGGUGCAAGAGGCGACGGUGCUCUUGGAGCAGAGGCGGCAGCGUGCCGAAGACGAGGCGCAGCUUCUGCGAGGGCGCAACGAGGAGCUCAAGCAACGUUGUGUGACAAUGGGAGAGGAGCUGGCGGAGUUGAAGACUCGGCUAGAGUGCGACAGCAGCGAGGUGGCGCAGCUGCGCGCGCGCAACGAAAAAGCCCUCAGUGAAUGCCACGUCGAGAUCCGCAGCCUGCAGCUGCAGCUGGAGCGUGUCACAGAGGUGGCUCAGCGGCGCUCGUCGGAGAGCGCCACCGCGAAAGAGAUCGAACAAGAGCAGAGCGCGGCUCUCGUUCGUCAGUACGCGGCCGAGGCACGAUCUGUGCAGGAGGAGCUCGAUCGCCUCAAGUCACAGUCUCACCGCGAACAUGAGAAGCACUUGACCACGGUGCUCGACCUGUCGCAGCAAAUCACCGCACUGAAACAGGCGAAUACCCAGCUGGAGCACGCCAUCAACGUUCGAGAGCGCGAGAGCACCGACGCGACGCGCCUGCUGGGCCGCGCGCGCGAAGAGGUGUCGCAGCUUCGAGAGGAGCGCCGUCGGAUGAGCGCGCCUUUCUUUGACCACCGCGAAGGCAGCCAGCCGAGCAGCACCGCGAGCAGUUACGACGCUCUGCUGCGCCGCAUCGCGGAGCUCGAGAAUGUGCAGAAGGAGCUGACGGAAAGACUGCGCGUGGCCAACUCCACUGUAGAACAGCUGCAGUCGAUGCAACAGGCCACCGCUGAUCAGCCGAAGAGCAGACGUGCUCCGGCCGGCCAUCAUCGCCGCCGCCGAUCGAAGCCCUACUUUCCCGUUCCGCCGACCGACUCCUUCCUGCAAAUGUCGGAUGAUGAGCGAGAGAAACUGCAGGCGGGCGGCCACGACGUGGCGACUGCGCCGCUCAGUUUCAUGGGUGGCUCACUGAUGUCGGUUUUCACUGGACAUAGGGAGCCCACAGCAUCUCUGCUGGAUCUGUUAGAGUCGAUUGUGCAGCAGCUGGAGUCCAUUAUUCGCUGCGCCAGGCAGCAAGGGGAGCCCGCGGUUCGGCGCAACUCACCCACCGCGUCACCGAGCCCGCAGGAGCACCAGGUGCAGCAAUUCAAGCAGACAGAGGAGCUCGAGGCGCUCGAUCGUGUGCUGGUGAGUUGUAUGGCGGCGCUGGAGUGCUGCCACCUUCGGCGCACCUCCUCACCCUUCUACUCCUCCUUCCGCGACGGUGCAGAGGGGAAGGAGUCGAAUGGGGCCGCCGUCCGGGGAGAGGGGAAGGCCGCUGGGCGCGAGGCGCCGUCUCCAUCUGUAGGGGCUUCUCUUGUUGACAGUGACCGCACAGGCGCUGCCCGCUCACGGUCCUCUUCCGUGGCAGAUCGGUGGCUGCAGCACGUGCAAAACCACCGUGAUGUGGCGCAGCACGCCACGUCGGCCGCGCUGCCUCAAGACCACUUCCCCCAGAUACCGCUGGAGAGGCCGAGGCGGAGCUCCCAGCGCUCUCGGUCCUCCGUCGGCGGCGAUGAUGAAUUCUUAUCGUGCUUUAGUAACACAUCUGCGGCCGCCCCGCAUCUGCCGACCGAAAGAACAGCGCGUGGGGGUGCCGCAGCGUGUGUUUUGCAGCGUUCGAAGCAGGAGUGCACGCCAGCGGGAAAGCGUCUCUUUGACGGCUCGGAUGCUGUACAGCGCAUCCAGCCACGCACCUCAGCUUCUGUGAGCGAGGGCGACCGAGAGGUGUUGCAGUCUGAGCCGUGCUGGGAGGGCGAUGCGGAUACGGAGGCGAUUGUGCAAGGCGAACGUGUUGCUCCUUCCGUUCUGCUGCACCUCUCAGCUAGAUAUACGUGCACUACCGAGUCACCUCCUGCUCGUCCACGUCGGACCGAGGCUGCUCCAAAAAGGCGCGGGUCCUCUGGCGUUACAGCAGCCGCAUCACACACUAAGCCUGACUUGAGCGCGAAGUAAGUGGCGCGAUUUGGCACGUCGCUAAGCGACUUUAGAAAGUUCGAAGCAUACGCACACAUUUAACGGAGCAGCGCCAGGAUAGGAUGAAGACGGCGUUCUGCACAGCCCGCCCUCUCCUACAGGCACGCCGUUCGGUGCUGCUCUGAAUGCGCCGCGUAAGGUGUCCGUCUUGGCGUCCGCAUCGCCACUGGUGCCGCGCUCUUCUCUUUCCUCCUCAAUCCAGUGGCCGACCUGCCCUGCCACCUGCUCUGCAACGUUGACUACGUGUCAUCUGCGCUUCCGUAGCACGGGCCGGAGAGCGAGGUUCAUGAGAGCACACCACCGCCGGAGGCAUGCCGCUCGAGCGUCGCUGAAGACAGAGGCAUGCGAAAAUUUGGCUAAGCGUCCAACCCACGCUGACUGCCGCUGCAGCGCUCACGGAUGGAAAUGGAGGCUACGACGCUGAGGUACGUGUUCAACGCAGUAGUGAUGGCGUACCAGCAUUUCGCACUGGACUCCCGUGCUGUUGAUCGGCGACCCGUUCGUCGUGCUUUAUCGAGUUGCUGGUUGCUUGUGCGCUUCUCGCCACCUUUUUUUUUCUAUAUUGCAUUCGUGCACACCUCCUCAGCCUUUCGAGUGCUAACAGGCGUGGGCGUUGCCUCCACCGACACAUCGUGCAAGAAAAGCGAGUCCAGCAGAGGUAAGACUGUCGCCGCGUUUUUACUGCGACUCCCAAGCGCCGCAUCCAUGGCGCGAGUCGCAGUCGUCAAAUGGCCAACGCCAAUUGGGCUGCCCAACGCGCACAGCUGGUGUACGUGUGCGGUGCUCUAGUGUUCAGUGUAGAGCACCUAUCGUGUUCCGCGUCUUCCUCGAUGUGUCAUUGUGUCUGCCGCGGUGAAUUCCUGAUGCCGUCGCUCGUGCGCUCUCUUCUGUUUUUCGUUUUCUUCUUGUUUCGUCUUUCCUGUCUCCGCGACAUCUUCCUGGCGCUGGUGAAUCGACACACAG
RNAcentral lists this unclassified non-coding RNA (4898 nucleotides) under Leishmania donovani. RNAcentral's name for it is "gene:LdHU3.31.2280(CDS-product:hypothetical_prote in_conserved)". Lineage: Eukaryota; Euglenozoa; Kinetoplastea; Trypanosomatida; Trypanosomatidae. The record is from RNAcentral.